Lycium ferocissimum is the source of this 639-nucleotide long non-coding RNA. RefSeq lists it as uncharacterized. The transcript has 2 exons. The record is from RefSeq and is a predicted model, not a curated record. NCBI's taxonomy places the organism in Eukaryota, Viridiplantae, Streptophyta, Magnoliopsida, Solanales, Solanaceae.
AUGCGGGCCAUGCGGUAUUUAGCUGAAUAUUUUAAUUUCUUACAGAUGUUCCAUAAGAAAGUUUCUGUUUGUGACCAUUGAUCAGAAUCUCCCCGCUUUGCCUCGUGCUGAAGUCCAGUCGCCCUGAGAAGUGGCCAUCAGCUAAUGCGUCUAAAAGUGUAGAUUUGCCACAGCCAGAAGGGCCCAUGACAGCCAGAAGCUCACUAGGUCGAGCAUAGCCAGUGAGACCCUGAAGUAUGGAUUUGCUGGCACUCUUUCUGGUGGAAACAGUGACCCAUAAGUCAUUCCAAGUCAAGGAAACGCCUCUAGAUUUUGAUCCCAUUUGGCCCUUCACAGCAUUAUUCAAUUCUACUUCGUGUAACAGCAUUGCCAAGUUUACAGAAGCCAUGCCCUGAAAAAUUGUGGGGAAUAAUACCAAAACGGAAAGGUGGUUUAUUUCUUUUUCUUACAAAAGGUAUGGGUAUUUAAGGAUGUUGUAGUGUGAAACACUUCGUUGUCCUCUGACGGGUAGCUAUGCCAUUAAUGAGACAUAUCUCAAAAAAAAUAUUCCAAUUACAAACAGUUCAAGGGAACUCAUUUAUGUUUCUCUUUGUACUCUGGCAGUUUCAGCUAUUAAUGAAUGUCUUGCUCCUAUCCUAA